RNAcentral lists this ribosomal RNA (500 nucleotides) under uncultured bacterium. Its description in RNAcentral is "partial 16S ribosomal RNA". It matches the Rfam family "Bacterial small subunit ribosomal RNA", at positions 899 to 1397 of the family's 1533-position model. The record is from RNAcentral.
ACUCAAAUGAAUUGACGGGGGCCCGCACAAGCGGUGGAGCAUGUGGUUUAAUUCGACGCAACGCGCAGAACCUUACCCGGGCUAGAAAAACUAGGAAUCCUUAAGAGAUUAGGGAGUGCCCGCAAGGGAACCUAGGUCCAGGUGCUGCAUGGCUGUCGUCAGCUCGUGUCGUGAGAUGUUGGGUUAAGUCCCGCAACGAGCGCAACCCUUGUCCUUAGUUGCCAUCAGUUCGGCUGGGCACUCUAAGGAGACUGCCGGCGUCAAGCCGGAGGAAGGUGGGGAUGACGUCAAGUCCUCAUGGCCCUCAUGUCCGGGGCUACACACGUGCUACAAUGGUCGGUACAAAGCGCUGCGAACUCGCGAGAGGGUGCCAAUCGCAAAAAACCGACCUCAGUACAGAUUGCAGUCUGCAACUCGACUGCAUGAAGGCGGAAUCGCUAGUAAUCGUCGAUCAGCAGGCGACGGUGAAUACGUUCCCGGGCCUUGUACACACCGCCCGU